GGAGAGGUGGCCGAGUGGUCGAAGGCGCUCCCCUGCUAAGGGAGUAGGCCCGGAAGGGUCUCGAGGGUUCGAAUCCCUUCCUCUCCG
This 87-nucleotide transfer RNA is filed under the name Roseibium marinum. RNAcentral describes it as "Labrenzia marina tRNA-Ser". It matches the Rfam family "tRNA". From Rfam's summary of the family: Transfer RNA (tRNA) molecules are approximately 80 nucleotides in length. Their secondary structure includes four short double-helical elements and three loops (D, anti-codon, and T loops). Lineage: Bacteria; Pseudomonadati; Pseudomonadota; Alphaproteobacteria; Hyphomicrobiales; Stappiaceae. The record is from RNAcentral. RNAcentral also lists the same sequence under 2 other names.